Cavia porcellus (domestic guinea pig) is the source of this 1661-nucleotide long non-coding RNA. RefSeq lists it as uncharacterized. NCBI's taxonomy places the organism in Eukaryota, Metazoa, Chordata, Mammalia, Rodentia, Caviidae. The record is from RefSeq and is a predicted model, not a curated record. The transcript is spliced from 3 exons.
AUUUCUUCCCAAAGUUCUCAUACCAUGUGCAGGAGUCAGUCCUGGUCCAGACACAGCAUGGACAUGAGGAGCUCCACUCAGCUCCUGGGCCUCCUGCUGCUCUGGCUCCAAGGUGUCAGAUGUGACAUCCAGAUGACUCAGACUGCAUCCUCCUUGCCUGCAUCUGUGGGAGACACAGUCAACAUCAAGUGUAAGGCAAGUCAGGGUAUAAUCAAUGCUUUAAACUGGUACCAACAGAAACCAGGGAAAUAUCCUCAACUGCUGAUCUAUGAUGCAACCAGUUUGGGAUCUGGGGUCCCUUUGAGUUUCAGUGGCAGUGUAUUUGGGACAGAUUUCACUCUUGCCAUCAGUAGCCUACAGCCUGAAGAUGUUGCUACCUAUUACUGUCAACAUGUUUAUGGUACCCCUCCCACAGUGAUACAAGCCAUGACACACCAGCCAGGGAAGCAGAAGUGUGAGGUUGGGCUGCCCCAGCUCAGCUCCACUGCAUCUGUACUCAACUGCUGAGAGCAUUUCUCUGAACAAGCCAGGCUUGAAUGCUCCUUUGAAGCUUUAGAAGAAGAACCAAGCCUGUCGUCUACACCCUUACUCUCUUUCCUUGUUUUAGCUACUAAAGCACAGAUAGUCCAGCUCCUGUCCUAAUUAAGUGAAGGCCACAGAUGAGCACCUCUGAGCAGUGUGGAUUAUGGCAUAAUUUUGGAUUCAGACAGCAACAUAGAAGCCCUUCUGUGUUCUAAGCAAGGAUUUUUAAAGAUCUCCUUCAAUUUUUAGUGUAGAUUUGUUCAUGGAAAAGUUUAAAAUACAGAGGUGGCCCUGAUUACCCAGUACACAUGGCUCUGCAGUCUAUCAUCAACAACCAAGGACAAUUUUGUUACAAACCAUUAAGAUCCAUAAGUGUGCAAAGUCUGUACUUUGCAUGAAGGUUCACUAUUGCUGCUAUACAUUUCACAAGAGGAAACAAAUGUGCAAUAACACACACGCAGCGUUUGCUACUGUGCAAUUUUGUUUCAUUGCCAUAAAAUUCUCCACCCUAAAAAUUAUCCCUGUUCAUUCUCCUCCAAUUCCUGCCAGUAAUUUGUAUUUUACCAUCCCAUUUCCAAAAUGACAAAAUCUUGCCUUUAUAACUUAGAAGUUUUUGAAAGACAAUCUCAGAAUAUGCUGUACUAAGAAAUACAAUAAUUAAAAAUAUUGAGUAACACCUCUUUGUACUUACAAGGUUCUCUUUAUCCCUUCUGUGUCCUCUGUUCAAGACCUGGAGGCCUUGCUGUGCAACCCUUGCUGGUGCUCUGCUUCUUCUACGAAGUCCCUUCCUGUCACAAUCUCUCAGCGGGAUGUGGUUACUGUCUCUGGACAAAGAUCAACCUGAAUCAGGUGCAGCAGUGAGCUGCAGACCUGGAGCUGUGGCCCUCUGAGUCCUGGUGCUCUGGGUCCAGUUUGGACAACAUAGAUGCUCUUAGAAGAUUUCUGGAAUGAGUGAAUAUUCGUGAUAUUGGGAACACCACCUGCAGUAGCAGAGUCAUCAAUGUACCAUCAAUGAAGCUCAAAUAAAUCUAGAACUGCUGUGUCCAUAUUAUGUUACUAGCAUUUAAGUUCAUUGCUUUCAAUGAAAAGUGAGAGCAAUGGUUUCCUGAGAGAUGUAACACUGUGUGAUACAUUAAUCC